This 1346-nucleotide unclassified non-coding RNA is filed under the name Hevea brasiliensis (rubber tree). The record is from RNAcentral. Lineage: Eukaryota; Viridiplantae; Streptophyta; Magnoliopsida; Malpighiales; Euphorbiaceae.
GUUUAUCCCUGUUGCAAAGAACCCAUUUAUAUUUUACUUCUUUUAUAUAUGAAGUUGAAAUUUUGAGUUUCCUUGCUUUCUUGAGUGUUAAACAUGAUUUAUGGGAGAAAUUAAGGUGAAUCGGUUAAGACUUUAGAUUGCUUCCUUGUUGUUUUAGAAUGUGUGUAUGUGUAGAAACAUUUUCUGGGUAAUUUUUCAUAUGGUUAAUUCCUCAAAGUUCUUGAUUUGAUCCGAAGGAUUGCAGAAAUGAUGCUGAGAUCUUACUUCUGUAAAAGUCUGAUUCUCAACUUUAGUUGGUGCUUAUAAAAUUCUUGUCUUUGUGUUUAUGACGGUCGUGGCUUAGUUUUACGGUAAGGCAAUAUGACAGCAAUAUAUUAUAGGCAAUUCUGUUCAGAUGAAAAGAGUUUUCAGGUUUCCCGUUAAAUGAUCGGAAAGUUUAUCGGAAAGUUUAAAGGAAUUAGCAAGUGCUUUCAAACUUUGAAGUGGUUUUUUAAAGCCAAAAUGAUAUGCUUCUCUUGAACAUUGGACCUUAUGAACAGGUAUUGAUUUAGUUGACACUUAAUAGGGGGUUUCAGUGGUAAAUUUAUGAGAAGAAAGCAAAGAUAAAUGUGUAACAAGGAAGUCCUAUACUUUGCUCUGCAUUGGAAAAGUGGAAAUAGAAUGGAAUUUUCACCGUAUACGAAAUGCUUUUAGGAAAAAUAAAAUGGAGAAGGGCCAUUCUGAAGAAAUAUCAUGAAAAAGGACUUCAGAAUUAGGAUAGUGUACUAGGGUGAUGCCCAUCCCUAUAAUUUUAUAAUGUGUGAAGACCAUUGAUGGUUUGAAAGUCAGAUAUUUUGGGAGAACAUUUUCAAGGGAUUUUCUAUCCUACAUGAGUUGGCUUAAUUGCUUCGCUAUAAAUUAUUGUUCUUUCAUUAAUGUGACCUUUAUUGGGAAUGUGAUAUUCAUGAAGAAUAGGCAUGUAGAGACUUGGCUUCCAUUAGUGCCUUUCUUCGCUGUCUUUACCGAGCCUACAUAAACAGCUAUUAUGAGAAGUCUACGAAGGAGAGAGAGGAGGAGACUUUCAUUGCAAAGGAAUUUGCAAGUCUGAAGCCCCUUUGAAGGUUGCAUUCUCUUUGUGGUCUGAUUGCACAUGAACUUUGGAACUUAAGGCGGAAAGGAUAGGAAUAAAGGAAAUACUAAUAUCUGUAAAUUUAAACCUGUAAGUUGCUCCAGAAACACUGUUACAAAAGUGAGAUAAGUUAGUAUGUGUUGGGAAUACUUGUCCCUUGUUGAGAAAAUACAAAGAUGAAAGAGUAAAUAUAAGUGGUUGGGUUGAAACCUUAACUUGGCUAGUCAUUUUAAUGUGU